GGUGGUGCAUGGUUGUCGUCAGCUCGUGUCGUGAGAUGUUGGGUUAAGUCCCGCAACGAGCGCAACCCUUGUCUUAUGUUGCCAGCACGUGAUGGUGGGGACUCAUGAGAGACUGCCGGGGUCAACUCGGAGGAAGGUGGGGAUGACGUCAAAUCAUCAUGCCCCUUAUGUCCAGGGCUUCACACAUGCUACAAUGGUCGGUACAGAAGGUCGCGAACUCGUGAGAGUAAGCCAAUCCUUCAAAGCCGGCCUCAGUUCGGAUUGGGGUCUGCAACUCGACCCCAUGAAGUCGGAGUCGCUAGUAAUCGCAGAUCAGCAACGCUGCGGUGAAUACGUUCCCGGGCCUUGUACACACCGA
This 358-nucleotide ribosomal RNA is filed under the name uncultured Actinomycetes bacterium. RNAcentral describes it as "bacterial SSU rRNA". It matches the Rfam family "Bacterial small subunit ribosomal RNA", at positions 1037 to 1393 of the family's 1533-position model. The record is from RNAcentral. Lineage: Bacteria; Bacillati; Actinomycetota; Actinomycetes.